AACGAACGCUGGCGGCGUGCCUAACACAUGCAAGUCGAACGUGAAAGUACUUCGGUAUGAGUAAAGUGGCGCACGGGUGAGUAUCACGUAGGUGACCUGCCUUUUAAUGGGGAAUAACCAGAUGAAAAUUUGGCUAAUGCCGCAUACGAAGCACAAAUAUAAUAGUAGUGCUUGAAAGAAUGCCUCUGUAUAUGCAUUCGUUAAAAGAUGGGCCUGCGGAACAUUAGCUAGUUGGUGGGGUAAAGGCCUACCAAGGCAACGAUGUUUAUCCGGUCUGGGAGGAUGAUCGGACACACUGGAACUGAGACACGGUCCAGACUCCUACGGGAGGCAGCAGUGGGGAAUAUUGCGCAAUGGGGGAAACCCUGACGCAGCAACGCCGCGUGAGUGAGGAAGGACUUCGGUCUGUAAAGCUCUGUUAAUGAGGAAAAAUGGUAGUUGGUCUAAUAGGCCGAUUAUUUGAUGGUACUCAUAGAGGAAGCACCGGCUAACUUCGUGCCAGCCGCCGCAGUAA
Molecule: ribosomal RNA, 514 nt
Filed under: uncultured bacterium
Lineage: Bacteria
Description: partial 16S ribosomal RNA
Rfam family: Bacterial small subunit ribosomal RNA
Source: RNAcentral